This 274-nucleotide ribosomal RNA is filed under the name uncultured bacterium. RNAcentral's name for it is "partial 16S ribosomal RNA". It matches the Rfam family "Bacterial small subunit ribosomal RNA", at positions 523 to 796 of the family's 1533-position model. The record is from RNAcentral.
AUACGGAGGGUGCAAGCGUUAUUCGGAAUCACUGGGCGUAAAGGACGCGUAGGCGGGUUGGCAAGUCAGAUGUGAAAUCCUACAGCUUAACUGUAGAACUGCAUUUGAAACUGCUAACCUAGAGUAUGGGAGGGGGAGAUGGAAUUAGUGGUAUAGGGGUAAAAUCCGUAGAUAUCACUAGGAAUACCGAAAGCGAAGGCGAUCUCCUGGAACAUAACUGACGCUAAGGCGUGAAAGCGUGGGGAGCAAACAGGAUUAGAAACCCUAGUAGUCC